This 88-nucleotide transfer RNA is filed under the name Candidatus Dojkabacteria bacterium. Its description in RNAcentral is "tRNA-Leu". It matches the Rfam family "tRNA". From Rfam's summary of the family: Transfer RNA (tRNA) molecules are approximately 80 nucleotides in length. Their secondary structure includes four short double-helical elements and three loops (D, anti-codon, and T loops). The record is from RNAcentral.
GCCUGGGUGGUGGAAUGGUAGACACGCUGGACUUAAAAUCCAGUGAGGGUUAUUCCUCGUGAGAGUUCGAGUCUCUCCCCAGGCACCA